GUAGUUGUGGCCAUGUGGUUAAGGUGAUAGACUAGAAAUCUAUUGGGGUCUACCUGUGUAGGUUCAAAUCUUACCAGCUACA
This is a non-coding RNA of Chelonoidis abingdonii (Abingdon island giant tortoise), 82 nucleotides long. The record is from the annotation of a RefSeq genome assembly. NCBI's taxonomy places the organism in Eukaryota, Metazoa, Chordata, Testudines, Testudinidae.